Molecule: microRNA precursor, 103 nt
Filed under: Marmota monax (woodchuck)
Lineage: Eukaryota; Metazoa; Chordata; Mammalia; Rodentia; Sciuridae
Source: RNAcentral
AGUGGGAUAACUGGGUCAAAUGGUGAUUCCAUUUCAAGUUUUCUAAGAAAUAUUCCGACUGCUUUCCAGAGUGGUUGCACCAAUUUACAGUCCCAACAGCAAU